GACGAACGCUGGCGGCGUGCUUAACACAUGCAAGUCGAGCGGUAAGGCCCUUUCGGGGGUACGACGAGCGGCGAACGGGUGAGUAACACGUGGGUGACCUGCCCUCAGCUCUGGGAUAAGCCUGGGAAACCGGGUCUAAUACCGGAUAUGACUCCAUGACGCAUGUUGUGGGGUGGAAAGCCUUGUGCGGCUGAGGAUGGGCCCGCGGCCUAUCAGCUUGUUGGUGGGGUGAUGGCCUACCAAGGCGACGACGGGUAGCCGGCCUGAGAGGGCGACCGGCCACACUGGGACUGAGACACGGCCCAGACUCCUACGGGAGGCAGCAGUGGGGAAUCUUGCGCAAUGGCGAAAGCCUGACGCAGCGACGCCGCGUGAGGAUGACGGCCU
This 387-nucleotide ribosomal RNA is filed under the name uncultured bacterium. Its description in RNAcentral is "bacterial SSU rRNA". It matches the Rfam family "Bacterial small subunit ribosomal RNA", at positions 28 to 417 of the family's 1533-position model. The record is from RNAcentral.